RNAcentral lists this ribosomal RNA (557 nucleotides) under Thraustochytriidae sp. Sed1. RNAcentral's name for it is "SSU rRNA". It matches the Rfam family "Eukaryotic small subunit ribosomal RNA", at positions 396 to 966 of the family's 1831-position model. Lineage: Eukaryota; Bigyra; Thraustochytrida; Thraustochytriidae. The record is from RNAcentral.
CUGAGAGACGGCCUACCACAUCCAAGGAAGGCAGCAGGCGCGUAAAUUACCCAAUCUUGAAACAAGGAGGUAGUGACAAUAAAUAACAAUGCCGGGCCUUUAUAGGUCUGGCAAUUGGAAUGAGAACAAUUUAAAUCCCUUAUCGAGGAUCAAUUGGAGGGCAAGUCUGGUGCCAGCAGCCGCGGUAAUUCCAGCUCCAAUAGCGUAUAUUAAAGUUGUUGCAGUUAAAAAGCUCGUAGUUGGACUUGUGCGGUCCUGCGAUGUCCAACUUGGUACGUUCGUGGGAGCGCAUCCUUGGGUGGAACCUGCGUGGCAUUAGGUUGUCGGGCAGGGGAUGCUCAUCGUUUACUGUGAAAAAAUUAGAGUGUUCAAAGCAGGCUUAAGCCGUUGAAUAUAUUAGCAUGGAAUAAUGAGAUAGGACCUUGGUACUAUUUUGUUGGUUUGCGCACCGAGGUAAUGAUUAACAGGGACAGUUGGGGGUAUUCGUAUUCCAUUGUCAGAGGUGAAAUUCUUGGAUUUUUGGAAUUCGAACUACUGCGAAAGCAUUACCAAGGAGG